AUGCACUGGCUUAAGGAAGGUGAUAGAAACACUAGGUUCUUUCACAUUAAGGCCUCUCAAAGAAAAGUAAAAAACAAAAUUAAGUUCAUAACUAAGAACAAUGGUGAUAUCACUUACAAGGAGGAAGAGAUUCAAAGCACCCUAGUAGACUAUUACAUUGACCUUUUCAAACCCAAUAACAACAGAACCCCUUUGAACCUAGACCCCGGGAAAAGAUGUAGUAAGGAGAUGAAAAACCAACUCCAAAAUCCUUUCACAGUAGAAGAGAUUUUCAUUACUAUAAAAAAUCUCAAAAGUGGUGCAGCCCCUGGGCCUGGUGGCAUACCAACUUAA
Non-coding RNA from Vicia faba (fava bean), 333 nucleotides. The record is from the annotation of a GenBank genome assembly. NCBI's taxonomy places the organism in Eukaryota, Viridiplantae, Streptophyta, Magnoliopsida, Fabales, Fabaceae.